AGCUGAGCAGCACGCCGCGUGCGGGAUGAAGGCCUUCGGGUUGUAAACCGCUUUCAGCAGGGACGAAAAUGACGGUACCUGCAGAAGAAGCCCCGGCUAAAUACGUGCCAGCAGCCGCGGUAAUACGUAUGGGGCAAGCGUUAUCCGGAUUCAUUGGGCGUAAAGAGCGCGUAGGCGGAUUGUUAAGUCAGAUGUGAAAACCGGGGGCUCAACCCGCGGCCUGCAUCUGAAACUGGCAGUCUUGAGUCUGGUAGAGGAAAGUGGAAUUCCCAGUGUAGCGGUGAAAUGCGCAGAUAUUGGGAGGAACACCAGUGGCGAAGGCGGCUUUCUGGGCCACGACUGACGCUGAGGCGCGAAAGCUAGGGGAGCAAACAGGAUUAGAUACCCUGGUAGUCCUAGCAGUAAACGAUGGGCACUAGGUGUGGGGGGUCAUCAACUCCCUCCGUGCCGCAGCUAACGCAUUAAGUGCCCCGCCUGGGGAGUACGACCGCAAGGUUAAAACUCAAG
Molecule: ribosomal RNA, 507 nt
Filed under: uncultured bacterium
Lineage: Bacteria
Description: bacterial SSU rRNA
Rfam family: Bacterial small subunit ribosomal RNA
Source: RNAcentral